GGUAACGUUGUUAGCGGUGCUGGUCACGGCGUAUUGGCUGCCGGACAGGCUGCCGCCAUAGAAGCCGCCGCUGUUGGAGUCGGUGACGUUACCG
RNAcentral lists this transfer RNA (94 nucleotides) under Serratia marcescens. Its description in RNAcentral is "tRNA-Gln(ttg)". Lineage: Bacteria; Pseudomonadati; Pseudomonadota; Gammaproteobacteria; Enterobacterales; Yersiniaceae. The record is from RNAcentral.